GGCUCAGGAUGAACGCGGGCGGCGUGCUUAAUACAUGCAAGUCGAACGAAGAGUUUCUGUAGCAAUACGGGAACUUCUUAGUGGCGAACGGGUGCGUAACGCGUUGGUGACCUGCCCCAAAGUGUGGGAUAACAGUUCGAAAGGACUGCUAAUACCACAUGUGGUCCUUCGGGUUAGAGGCCGAAGGUCUAAAGCAGUAAUGCGCUUUGGGAGGGACCUGCGUCCCAUCAGCUAGUUGGUGAGGUAACGGCCCACCAAGGCUAUGACGGGUAGGGGACCUGAGAGGGUGGUCCCCCACACUGGCACUGAAACACGGGCCAGACACCUACGGGUGGCAGCAGUAGGGAAUAUUGGGCAAUGGGCGAAAGCCUGACCCAGCAACGCCGCGUGCACGAUGAAGGUCUUCGGAUCGUAAAGUGCUUUUCUGAGAGAUGAGAAAGGACAGUAUCUCAGGAAUAAGUCUCGGCUAACUACGUGCCAGCAGCCGCGGUAACACGUAGGAGGCAAGCGUUAUCCGGAUUUACUGGGCGUAAAGCGCGUGCAGGUGGUUCGGUAAGUUGGAUGUGAAAGCUCCUGGCUCAACUGGGAGAGGUCGUUCAAAACUGCCGGACUUGAGAACAGUAGAGGAAGAUGGAAUUCCCGGUGUAGUGGUGAAAUGCGUAGAUAUCGGGAGGAACACCAGUGGCGAAAGCGAUCUUCUGGACUGUUUCUGACACUCAGACGCGAAAGCUAGGGUAGCAAACGGGAUUAGAGACCCCGGUAGUCCUAGCUGUAAACGAUGUGAACUUGGCGUCGGCGGGUUCAAAGCCGUCGGUGCCGAAGCCAACGCGAUAAGUUCACCGCCUGGGGACUACGGCCGCAAGGUUAAAACU
Molecule: ribosomal RNA, 872 nt
Filed under: uncultured bacterium
Lineage: Bacteria
Description: bacterial SSU rRNA
Rfam family: Bacterial small subunit ribosomal RNA
Source: RNAcentral